This 497-nucleotide ribosomal RNA is filed under the name uncultured bacterium. Its description in RNAcentral is "partial 16S ribosomal RNA". It matches the Rfam family "Bacterial small subunit ribosomal RNA", at positions 28 to 507 of the family's 1533-position model. The record is from RNAcentral.
GAUGAACGCUGGCGGCGUGCCUAAUACAUGCAAGUCGAGCGAACGGACGAGAAGCUUGCUUUUCUGAUGUUAGCGGCGGACGGGUGAGUAACACGUGGAUAACCUACCUAUAAGACUGGGAUAACUUCGUGAAACCGGAGCUAAUACCGGAUAAUAUUUUGAACCGCAUGGUUCAAAAGUGAAAGACGGUCUUGCUGUCACUUAUAGAUGGAUCCGCGCUGCAUUAGCUAGUUGGUAAGGUAACGGCUUACCAAGGCAACGAUGCAUAGCCGACCUGAGAGGGUGAUCGGCCACACUGGAACUGAGACACGGUCCAGACUCCUACGGGAGGCAGCAGUAGGGAAUCUUGCGCAAUGGGCGAAAGCCUGACGGAGCAACGCCGCGUGAGUGAUGAAGGUCUUCGGAUCGUAAAACUCUGUUAUUAGGGAAGAAAAUAUGUGUAAGUAACUAUGCACAUCUUGACGGUACCUAAUCAGAAAGCCACGGCUAACUACGUG